GCAAAAAUAGCUCAAUGGUAGAGUAUAACCUUGGAAUUGG
RNAcentral lists this transfer RNA (40 nucleotides) under Peronospora tabacina. RNAcentral describes it as "partial tRNA-Gly". The record is from RNAcentral. Lineage: Eukaryota; Oomycota; Peronosporomycetes; Peronosporales; Peronosporaceae.